CUAAAAUGUCAAAGGACCCACAUGAGAUUUUGGGACGAAAAUAAGAGACCUGUUGGUUUGCUGAACGGGUCUCUUAUAUAUGCGCAUAAGGAUUAAGGACCCACCACAACUAGCGUACUCUCGCCUUUUCUUUGUUUUUUUUAAGAAAAAAAAAUUCCCUUUUUAAUUCUUAUUCAUUUAUACAGCUCAUUAUUAGUCAUGUUCAUAUGAAUCUCUUUUCUUGUUCCCCUUUAUACGUCUCUUUCUCUUUCACCUCAUCACUUGUCUCAUCUCAUUUCUCAUUUUUAUUUCUCACGAAGCAAUUAACUCCUCCUCAUUAACGACGCUGCAUCUUCCUUCAACACCGGCGUUGCCUUCUUCUUUUAACUCAAAAUUUGAGGCUUUCAACGUCUAUUAUGACCAUAAAUACUCCAGAUCUAGAGUCUUAUGGUCAAAUUUGCCUAAAUAAUUCUACAAUUGAAUAAUCCUUAAAAAGAUGAUUUAGGUGCCCAAGAGUUGAUUUAUGUGGUGAAGAUUGCAUAUGGGAUAAUAUAUGAUUUUAUCCCCUUAAUUUUGUUAUUGAUGUUUAAAUCGUGUAAGGUUGUGUUUAUGUUGUUGAUGUCUAGUUUUUAACCUGAAUUAUAACCCUUGAAGCUUUUUUUUUAUUGAUUCUCUUAAUGGUAUACAGGUUUUUAGAGGCCAGAUGACCAAUUCAAGAAACUUGCUUAGCUGAUAUAUGGAGGGCUAAAGAAAUUACCAAAGAGAUGGUUGGAUUCACUUGCCGUAUAAAAUUGGUGGGAAUGUUGUUAGUUUUGAUAACUUAUUGUAAAUUAUUAUUUCCAUUAGUUAUUAUUUACUUGUUCCAUAAAUUCUCUUAUACAUGUAAAUUAUUGUUCGUAUAUACUUGUAAAUGUUACUACUA
Long non-coding RNA from Chenopodium quinoa (quinoa), 901 nucleotides. RefSeq lists it as uncharacterized. The record is from RefSeq and is a predicted model, not a curated record. Lineage: Eukaryota; Viridiplantae; Streptophyta; Magnoliopsida; Caryophyllales; Amaranthaceae. The transcript has 2 exons.